RNAcentral lists this ribosomal RNA (437 nucleotides) under uncultured bacterium. Its description in RNAcentral is "partial 16S ribosomal RNA". It matches the Rfam family "Bacterial small subunit ribosomal RNA", at positions 339 to 795 of the family's 1533-position model. The record is from RNAcentral.
CUACGGGCGGCUGCAGUGAGGAAUAUUGCACAAUGGGGGGAACCCUGAUGCAGCAACGCCGCGUGGAGGAUGACGCAUUUCGGUGUGUAAACUCCUUUUAUAUGUCAAGAAAAUGACGGUAGCAUAUGAAUAAGCACCGGCUAACUCCGUGCCAGCAGCCGCGGUAAUACGGAGGGUGCAAGCGUUACUCGGAAUCACUGGGCGUAAAGGACGCGUAGGCGGGUUGGAAAGUCAGGUGUGAAAUCCUACAGCUUAACUGUAGAACUGCACUUGAAACUUCUAAUCUAGAGUAUGGGAGGGGGAGAUGGAAUUAGUGGUGUAGGGGUAAAAUCCGUAGAUAUCACUAGCAAUACCUAAAGCGAAGGCGAUCUCCUGGAACAUUACUGACGCUAAGGCGUGAAAGCGUGGGGAGCAAACAGGAUUAGACCCUAGUAGUC